Molecule: ribosomal RNA, 253 nt
Filed under: uncultured bacterium
Lineage: Bacteria
Description: partial 16S ribosomal RNA
Rfam family: Bacterial small subunit ribosomal RNA
Source: RNAcentral
UACGUAGGGGGCAAGCGUUGUCCGGAUUUAUUGGGCGUAAAGAGCGUGUAGGCGGCCUGGAAGGUCAGCUGUGAAAACUCGAGGCUCAACCUCGAGACGUCGGUUGAAACCACCUGGCUAGAGUCCGGAAGAGGAGAGUGGAAUUCCCGGUGUAGCGGUGAAAUGCGCAGAUAUCGGGAAGAACACCCGUGGCGAAGGCGGCUCUCUGGACGGUUUCUGACGCUAAGACGCGAAAGCGUGGGGAGCAAACAGG